This 117-nucleotide ribosomal RNA is filed under the name uncultured bacterium. RNAcentral describes it as "partial 16S ribosomal RNA". It matches the Rfam family "Bacterial small subunit ribosomal RNA", at positions 1358 to 1482 of the family's 1533-position model. The record is from RNAcentral.
UACGGUGAAUACGUUCCCGGACCUUGCACACACCGCCCGUCAAGCCAUGGAAGCCGGGUGUACCUAAAGUCGGUAACCGCUAAGGAGCCGCCUAGGGUAAAACUGGUAACUGGGGCU